Mercenaria mercenaria is the source of this 599-nucleotide long non-coding RNA. RefSeq lists it as uncharacterized. NCBI's taxonomy places the organism in Eukaryota, Metazoa, Mollusca, Bivalvia, Venerida, Veneridae. The transcript has 2 exons. The record is from RefSeq and is a predicted model, not a curated record.
UACAGUCACUGAUUAAAUCCUAUUAAAAUGAAAUACUGUCUGUAUUCUAACUCAUUAUAUAUCCAAGUUCUGUCUUUCACUGAAGUUGCAGCUUUCUUUCUUUUCUUUUUUCUUUCCUGUGCACCACAGUAUACGUACGUGCUAGGCGCUCCAUUAUUGAUCGAGGCCAUCAUAUUGAAUAGAACAGUUAUUUGCACGCUGGGGAAAAUAUUUCACGAUGGACCUGUCAAUUCUUUACUUGUGGGUGAAACAGGUCUCAUAUACGUAAAUACGACUAGCUUCUACUGAUUAUAAAACAUACCGUACGAUUUGUUGUGAAUUAACUGUUGUUGUACUUUAAGUAGUUUAACCGCCACCCUUGUUUAAGAGCAACAUUUAAAAACACGUUUUUUUUUUUCAUCCUCAAGUAAUAAGUAAGUAGACUCGCCCAGCUUAAUCAAUCUAGACGCAUAAUCUAACUGUUAUAUAUAGAGCGCUUACUUCACCCGAUUUACAUUCGGAACAUAUUCACGCGUUUCGGGCUUUAUCGUAUGUUUAACAUGGUAUUUUUGAACCGUCCAAAGAUGCUGGAAAUGUUUGUCUCAUUGUUUAUUUUUUUU